Molecule: ribosomal RNA, 460 nt
Filed under: uncultured bacterium
Lineage: Bacteria
Description: bacterial SSU rRNA
Rfam family: Bacterial small subunit ribosomal RNA
Source: RNAcentral
GAUGAACGUUGGCGGUGUGCCUAAUACAUGCAAGUCGAACGGAGACAGUAGCAAUAUUGUCUUAGUGGCGAACGGGUGAGUAACGCGUUGGUGACCUGCCCCGAAGUGUGGAAUAACAGUUCGAAAGAAUUGCUAAUACCGCAUGUGAUCUUUGAGAUUAGAACCUCUUUGAUUAAAGGAUUUAUUCGCUUCGGGAGGGGCCUGCGUCCCAUCAGCUAGUUGGUAGGGUAAAAGCCUACCAAGGCUAUGACGGGUAGGGGACCUGAGAGGGUGGCCCCCCACAAUGGAACUGAAACACGGUCCAUACACCUACGGGUGGCAGCAGUAGGGAAUAUUAGUAAUGGGCGAAAGCCUGAACUAGCAACACCGCGUGUGCGAUGAAAGGCCUUGGGUCGUAAAGCACUUUUCGGGAGGAUGAGGAAGGACGGUACUCCCGGAAUAAGUCUCGGCUAACUACGUG